Molecule: long non-coding RNA, 1729 nt
Filed under: Trifolium pratense (red clover)
Lineage: Eukaryota; Viridiplantae; Streptophyta; Magnoliopsida; Fabales; Fabaceae
Description: long non-coding RNA (TPRA_LNC011984)
Source: RNAcentral
AGCAAGAUAAAAUGACAUCAAAAGUCAAGAGGGUUAUCUUAUUAAAUUCAUAAUGUCUCAAAUAAUCUAAAUACAAAUUAUUAAAAUCUCAUCAAAUUAAGGAAAAAAAAAUUAUCUUUUUGUACUUCAUAAUGUUUCUGCAUGUUUUUUCUUCUUCUGUUGUUUGUGUCUUCAUUUUCUUUGAUCUUUCACUAUCACAAGUCUUCUCUCCAAAUUGGAAUUUUUUGCCUUUUCUUCUUUGACCAUUUCCAAUUCAUUUUUUAUUUUGCUUCUUCACAACAAAACUGACUGACCUAUCAGAUAUUAUCAUCUUAAACUCUCAUAGGUAACUUCCUUUCUCCACAUCAAAGUUACAAGUCAGUCCCAUAUAAGAUUGAAAUACACCUAAUUAAAAUUUUAAGAUGAUAGAGUUUGAUUACACAACAUUUUUUUCUCCUUCGAUGAUACAAAUUUACUGGCCUAGGGGUACAACAACACCAAUCUAUAUAUAUCUUUAGGCUAAGAUAACUUUUUACACUUUUAAAAUAUUCCAUGCUCAAAUUUUAAGACAAUUUUCUUUAUUAAUAUGCUUAACUAGUGUCCGAGACACUAUUUAGCAUUUUCCAUAUAUAGAAACAAAACCUUGCGAUUACAAUUUACAUCAACAAAGCAGAGCCAUUAAAUCUAAUAGUAAGACAAGAUCAAGAUCAUGGAUGGUCAGGGACGGAGGUAGGAAUUCAGUUUAGGGGAACUGAACAUACAACAAAUUAUAAAAUAAAUCCAAAGUUAAUAUUUGUGAAUUUGCAUUUUAUGAGCCACUUUUUUUUAGUUGAACUUUUUGGCCUAUUUAUUUUCACGUUUCUUGUAAUUUUGGUCUCAACUCAUGCAUUGUGCCUUAAAAUUGCGACAUCCAUGCAUAAAAAAAAAGGUGAAUUUUAGUCUCAAAAGAAAUAUUUUGUCAUUAAAUUUAAUAUUGAAUUGAGACAAUAUAAUCACUUUUUUAGUACAAAAGAAUACAAUUUUUAUUUGGAAUAACAUUCACUAAGAUCAAAUUUACAACAAAUUUAUAAAUAGAGCACAAAAAGUUGAAAUAUAAAAAGGGGGCUAUUUUUGUGAGUUGAAGAAAAUAGAAGAAUAAAAAUGAAAAUAAACCAUUAAUAUAAUAAAAUACUAUAGUAUAAAUUUUUUGAAAAAAAAUUAAGGAGAACCGUGGCCUUUAUUGGACCCCUUUCUAGGUCCAUAGUUUCCGCCAUGAGGCUUAUCAAAUGCUUGCUUGUUUUGAUUUAUAAGAUUUGAUUCCCCAAGCAACCUUCUACUACUUGCCAUUUCAUACGACCCUAUAAAAUAACAUCAUAUACAUCAAGGAUUUAUAUAAAUUUAAAUUUAUAUACACCAACAAUAUAUGUUGACAUUUUCUUUCACAUGAUCAUAUAAAAUAUGGUAUUAUAAAGCAUAAUUUAGUAAUUAAUUAUCCAAAAAAGUGUAAGAUGUCAAUAAAGCCCUUAAAAAACACUCCAUAUAGAUUUGUGUAUAUGGACUACCCAAAAAUGUUUCUAAGAAAAAACAAUUGAAUAUGGGAGUUUCACUUACUUGAAUGAAGCUCAGAAUCUCCAACUAGUUUUAUGGUACACAAUGAAAUCACAAAAAGUAUGAGGGCAACACCAAUAAGUGAAGUUGUUUUAGAAGCCAUAUUAGUUUGGUUUAUGGUCACUAUGUAUUCAAGAUAUCCUAAUUUAUAACACACAAGUAU